This 253-nucleotide ribosomal RNA is filed under the name uncultured Allobaculum sp. RNAcentral's name for it is "partial 16S ribosomal RNA". It matches the Rfam family "Bacterial small subunit ribosomal RNA", at positions 524 to 776 of the family's 1533-position model. The record is from RNAcentral. Lineage: Bacteria; Bacillati; Bacillota; Erysipelotrichia; Erysipelotrichales; Erysipelotrichaceae.
UACGUAGGUGGCGAGCGUUAUCCGGAAUGAUUGGGCGUAAAGGGUGCGCAGGCGGUCCUGCAAGUCUGGAGUGAAACGUAUGAGCUCAACUCAUGCAUGGCUCUGGAAACUGGAGGACUGGAGAGCAGGAGAGGGCGGUGGAAUUCCUAGUGUAGCGGUGAAAUGCGUAGAUAUUAGGAGGAACACCAGUGGCGAAGGCGGCUUACUGGACGAUGACUGACGCUGAGGCUCGAAAGCGUGGGGAGCAAACAGG